GACGAACGCUGGCGGCGUGCUUAACACAUGCAAGUCGAACGCUGAAGCACCAGCUUGCUGGUGUGGAUGAGUGGCGAACGGGUGAGUAACACGUGAGUAACCUGCCCCUGACUUCAGGAUAAGCCCGGGAAACUGGGUCUAAUACCGGAUACGACCCCUGACCGCAUGGUCGGGGGUGGAAAGUCUUUUCGGUUGGGGAUGGGCUCGCGGCCUAUCAGCUUGUUGGUGGGGUGAUGGCCUACCAAGGCGACGACGGGUAGCCGGCCUGAGAGGGCGACCGGCCACACUGGGACUGAGACACGGCCCAGACUCCUACGGGAGGCAGCAGUGGGGAAUAUUGCACAAUGGGGGAAACCCUGAUGCAGCGACGCCGCGUGGGGGAUGACGGCCUUCGGGUUGUAAACCUCUUUCAGUAGGGAAGAAGCCUCUUGGGGGUGACGGUACCUGCAGAAGAAGUACCGGCUAACUAC
Molecule: ribosomal RNA, 470 nt
Filed under: uncultured Actinomycetes bacterium
Lineage: Bacteria; Bacillati; Actinomycetota; Actinomycetes
Description: bacterial SSU rRNA
Rfam family: Bacterial small subunit ribosomal RNA
Source: RNAcentral